AACCGCCCGGUGCGGACCCGCAUGCCGGGUGGUGUGGCAGGGGAGCAGGCUGAGAGGCCUGCCUCCUAUGCCGAU
RNAcentral lists this unclassified non-coding RNA (75 nucleotides) under Kosakonia oryziphila. The record is from RNAcentral. Lineage: Bacteria; Pseudomonadati; Pseudomonadota; Gammaproteobacteria; Enterobacterales; Enterobacteriaceae.